GCCUUCGCGGAUUUUGGCUUUCUUACAACGUACAGUUUGCCCGUUCCCUAAAGCCCUGGGACGGUCUUGAAUUGGAUUUGAUAUCGUGGAAAAAGAGUGUGGUUUUCAGGGACCUGCGUAUGCCAUGAAUGUUGAAAAUGCUAAAAUGCACCAUCUGACUUGGAAUCAACAAACCUGAGCCAGCCAAACAGGAAAGUGCAUAAAUGAAAUUUGGUUUGGAGAGAGAAGAAGACAGGAGACUUUCACACCGGAACAGGCUACCCACAGCCUAAACAACACACAGGAGCCAAGACAGCAAGAGGGUGAAGUGCUGGGAAGUGUUUACAUCUCCCUGCUCCAGAGAGUAUGACCUCACUAACUAUUCUAAAUACGGGAGAUAAGGCACUGCUGCUGUUGCUCAUCCUUCUCUCAGAUAAAAUAAGCUGGUGCAUGAGGCACCAGAGCAUUUCUUGAAGGAUACAGGAAUAUUAGACCAAAAUGCUGUUUUAAAUAAUUGUUCAUAAUGGAAAAGACAAAUAGGUUGGCUAUCAAGAGUUCCACCCACUCACUUGUCCACAUUUUCCUCAAGUGCUGUCAGCUUCCAUGAGCUUUUCAAUGCUGCCACAAGUGCCCAAAUUAAAAA
Long non-coding RNA from Lacerta agilis (Sand lizard), 622 nucleotides. RefSeq lists it as uncharacterized. The transcript has 3 exons. Lineage: Eukaryota; Metazoa; Chordata; Lepidosauria; Squamata; Lacertidae. The record is from RefSeq and is a predicted model, not a curated record.